ACGGGUGAGUAAUGCCUAGGAAUCUGCCUGGUAGUGGGGGAUAACGUUCGGAAACGGACGCUAAUACCGCAUACGUCCUACGGGAGAAAGCAGGGGACCUUCGGGCCUUGCGCUAUCAGAUGAGCCUAGGUCGGAUUAGCUAGUUGGUGAGGUAAUGGCUCACCAAGGCGACGAUCCGUAACUGGUCUGAGAGGAUGAUCAGUCACACUGGAACUGAGACACGGUCCAGACUCCUACGGGAGGCAGCAGUGGGGAAUAUUGGACAAUGGGCGAAAGCCUGAUCCAGCCAUGCCGCGUGUGUGAAGAAGGUCUUCGGAUUGUAAAGCACUUUAAGUUGGGAGGAAGGGUUGUAGAUUAAUACUCUGCAAUUUUGACGUUACCGACAGAAUAAGCACCGGCUAACUCUGUGCCAGCAGCCGCGGUAAUACAGAGGGUGCAAGCGUUAAUCGGAAUUACUG
This 458-nucleotide ribosomal RNA is filed under the name Pseudomonas sp. Its description in RNAcentral is "bacterial SSU rRNA". It matches the Rfam family "Bacterial small subunit ribosomal RNA", at positions 102 to 556 of the family's 1533-position model. Lineage: Bacteria; Pseudomonadati; Pseudomonadota; Gammaproteobacteria; Pseudomonadales; Pseudomonadaceae. The record is from RNAcentral.